GGGAAGGGAUCAUAUAUUGGUUCUAUUUUGCUUAUUCGUUGUCGCUGUUUUUGUAUGUUUUCCAUGAAAGGUAAAAUUUUUCUUUUGAUAAAUUAGGAUGGUACACUUAUGGUUUGACCUAUUUAGCUAUUUAGUUCUUUACACAUAAAAUUUUCAAUAUCCUAGACUUAGUGGGUAAGAAUUUUUUUUUUUUUUUAGGAAUUAUGAAUUUGCUUGACUGCCUACCUUAUAUCACAUGUCAAUUUUUUGCCUUCUCUUCUUAAAAAAAAUAAAAAAAAAGAGAAAAAAAGAAGAAAUGAAUAAAUACUCCUCUAAUACGAAUGUUAAUAGUGAAAAACUGGGGUUGUACAUCGGGCUGAGUAACCGGAAUGUGGUGCUUGGGUUUGUAGAAGCCCAAAUUACCCCGGGCCUCACCAAAUCAAGUCAGGCCCACUAACCUAAAAUCAGACCCAAACCUACAAACCCACCAAGCAGACCCAAAAUAAUCCAUGGCCCAAUAUCCAAAUCUACAAACAAACCCUAGCCCAAAACCCAUAAUAGAAAAAAACAAAAAAAAUUUCAAACCCUAGGUGCGCCGCACCUAGGGUCUUCUAGCCCGGCACCGCCACCAUUUUGUCGCCGCCACCGUUCUGACGCCGCGCCG
RNAcentral lists this long non-coding RNA (643 nucleotides) under Gossypium raimondii (Peruvian cotton). Its description in RNAcentral is "long non-coding RNA (GRAI_LNC011288)". Lineage: Eukaryota; Viridiplantae; Streptophyta; Magnoliopsida; Malvales; Malvaceae. The record is from RNAcentral.